RNAcentral lists this ribosomal RNA (497 nucleotides) under uncultured bacterium. RNAcentral's name for it is "partial 16S ribosomal RNA". It matches the Rfam family "Bacterial small subunit ribosomal RNA", at positions 28 to 507 of the family's 1533-position model. The record is from RNAcentral.
GAUGAACGCUGGCGGCGUGCCUAAUACAUGCCAGUCGAGCGAACAGAUGAGGAGCUUGCUCCUCUGACGUUAGCGGCGGACGGGUGAGUAACACGUGGAUAACCUACCUAUAAGACUGGAAUAACUUCGGGAAACCGGAGCUAAUACCGGAUAAUAUAUUGAACCGCAUGGUUCAAUAGUGAAAGACGGUUUUGCUGUCACUUAUAGAUGGAUCCGCGCCGCAUUAGCUAGUUGGUAAGGUAACGGCUUACCAAGGCAACGAUGCGUAGCCGACCUGAGAGGGUGAUCGGCCACACUGGAACUGAGACACGGUCCAGACUCCUACGGGAGGCAGCAGUAGGGAAUCUUCCGCAAUGGGCGAAAGCCUGACGGAGCAACGCCGCGUGAGUGAUGAAGGUCUUCGGAUCGUAAAACUCUGUUAUUAGGGAAGAACAAAUGUGUAAGUAACUAUGCACGUCUUGACGGUACCUAAUCAGAAAGCCACGGCUAACUACGUG